RNAcentral lists this ribosomal RNA (100 nucleotides) under unidentified. RNAcentral describes it as "partial 12S ribosomal RNA". The record is from RNAcentral.
GUGGGUUUGGGGCACCGCCAAGUCCUUAGAGUUUUAAGCGUUUGUGCUCGUAGUUCUCGGGCGGAUAUAUUGGUAAUGGGAUAUCAAGAUUUAAGGCCAG